UUAAUUAAAACUAAAAACACCAAAACACACACCUUUGUGUGUGUUCUGGUCGUACAAAACACAGGAGCCAAGAAGGGCUCUCAAGCUCAAACCCAAACAAGCAUAAAAUCAACAAAUUGAAGGGGUAAAUCCAACCUAAAUCGAAAUCCAAGCACGAAUUCAUGAUCACCUCGAUGAAGGGAUCAUAAGUUUGACUCUUGACAAGCUAGAUGGAGGCUUGGGGAAAGAAGCGGGUCAAACGGAUCGUAUACGCGGAAAAGAGCAUAAUCCGGAUACUAGGAAUAAAUAUCGAUUGAAUGUUGACAUCGCUAUUACUUAGCGGCUACUAAGGCAAGGUGAAGAUGGACCUAAUCCGGAUGAAGAUCAAGCGGCGAGCAAGAACUGAACACACGUUAAAUGAAGCUUCCGCGUCAAAUCUUGAUUUGUGUUGAUAUAAGUGAAUUAUGUAAACACUUAUAACUUGUUUUUUAAAUGUUGUAAUCAUUUGGGAAUGUUGGUAUAACAAGUUUUGUAAAGACACAUUUUAGCAUAAAAAUCUGUAUCUUUUAUUAAAA
Molecule: long non-coding RNA, 554 nt
Organism: Helianthus annuus (common sunflower)
Lineage: Eukaryota; Viridiplantae; Streptophyta; Magnoliopsida; Asterales; Asteraceae
Exons: 4
Source: RefSeq, a predicted model, not a curated record